UGCUGCAGCCAUUCCAGCAGGGCGGGCAAGUCCUCUACCCCGUGGUGGUGGAGGCCCAAAACUUGGAGGUCCAGGCGCACGACCUCCCGGUGGAGGUGGUGGUGGCCCAACUCCUGGAGGUCUUGGUGGUCCAGGUGGAGGAGGUGGACCAGGUGCACGGCCUCCAGGUGGAGGUGGUGGUGGUGGUCCAGGUGCACGGCCUCCAGGAGGAGGGGGCGGUGGUGGUGGUCCAGGUGCAUGGCCUCCAGGAUGACCCCAAAACUUGGAGGUCCAGGCGCACGACCUCCCGGUGGAGGUGGUGGUGGCCCAACUCCUGGAGGUCUUGGUGGUCCAGGUGGAGGAGGUGGACCAGGUGCACGGCCUCCAGGUGGAGGUGGUGGUGGUGGUCCAGGUGCACGGCCUCCAGGAGGAGGGGGCGGUGGUGGUGGUCCAGGUGCAUGGCCUCCAGGAUGACGGGGUGGAGGUGGUGGUCCAGGUGCACGGCCUCCAGGAGGAGGGGGCGGUGGUGGUGGUCCAGGNNN
This 521-nucleotide long non-coding RNA is filed under the name Lactuca sativa (garden lettuce). RNAcentral's name for it is "long non-coding RNA (LSAT_LNC004006)". Lineage: Eukaryota; Viridiplantae; Streptophyta; Magnoliopsida; Asterales; Asteraceae. The record is from RNAcentral.